GACGAACGCUGGCGGCGUGCCUAAUACAUGCAAGUUGAGCGCUGAAGGUUGGUACUUGUACCAACUGGAUGAGCAGCGAACGGGUGAGUAACGCGUGGGGAAUCUGCCUUUGAGCGGGGGACAACAUUUGGAAACGAAUGCUAAUACCGCAUAAAAACUUUAAACACAAGUUUUAAGUUUGAAAGAUGCAAUUGCAUCACUCAAAGAUGAUCCCGCGUUGUAUUAGCUAGUUGGUGAGGUAAAGGCUCACCAAGGCGAUGAUACAUAGCCGACCUGAGAGGGGGAUCGGCCACAUUGGGACUGAGACACGGCCCAAACUCCUACGGGAGGCAGCAGUAGGGAAUCUUCGGAAAUGGACGAAAGUCUGACCGAGCAACGCCGCGUGAGUGAAGAAGGUUUUCGGAUCGGAAAACUCUGCUGGUAGAGAAGAAAGUUGGUGAGAGUGGAAAGCUCAUCAAGUGACGGUAACUACACAGAAAGGGACGGCUAACUACGUG
Molecule: ribosomal RNA, 497 nt
Filed under: uncultured bacterium
Lineage: Bacteria
Description: partial 16S ribosomal RNA
Rfam family: Bacterial small subunit ribosomal RNA
Source: RNAcentral